RNAcentral lists this small RNA (239 nucleotides) under Vigna angularis var. angularis. RNAcentral describes it as "Non-protein coding transcript". The record is from RNAcentral. Lineage: Eukaryota; Viridiplantae; Streptophyta; Magnoliopsida; Fabales; Fabaceae.
UUAUUCUAUUUUUCACUUUCUUUCUAGAGCUAUUAUAGGUAAUGUAAUUCAGUGAUCACUCUUUCUCUUUUUUUUAAUACUCGCAGACCAUUUACAGAGGCAAGAAGAAAAUUACUAAGAAUAUUAACGAGUAUUUGGCCAUCAAGAAAGUGGAUAAGUGUCAGGAACCUGAGGUCGUAGAAGAGAAAUUGGAGGAAUAAUCUAUCCAUUGCCUAUGUCAGUCCCUGAAACUGCCCGAU